This 466-nucleotide ribosomal RNA is filed under the name uncultured bacterium. RNAcentral's name for it is "partial 16S ribosomal RNA". It matches the Rfam family "Bacterial small subunit ribosomal RNA", at positions 28 to 507 of the family's 1533-position model. The record is from RNAcentral.
GAUGAACGCUGGCGGCGUGCUUAACACAUGCAAGUCGAACGGAAAGGCCCAAGCUUGCUUGGGUGCUCGAGUGGCGAACGGGUGAGUAACACGUGGGUGAUCUGCCCUGCACUUUGGGAUAAGCCUGGGAAACUGGGUCUAAUACCGGAUAGGACCAUCGUUUAGUGUCGGUGGUGGAAAGUUUUUCGGUGUGGGAUGAGCUAGCGGCCUAUCAGCUUGUUGGUGGGGUAAUGGCCUACCAAGGCGUCGAUGGGUAGCCGGCCUGGGAGGGUGGACGGCCACAUUUGGACUGAGAUACGGCCCAGACUCCUACGGGGGGCAGCAGUGGGGGAUAUUGCACAAUGGGCGCGAGCCUGAUGCAGCGACGCCGCGGGGGGGAUGACGGCCUUCGGGUUGGAAACUCCUUUCGCCAAGGACGAAGCGUUUUGUGACGGUACUUGGAGAAGAAGCACCGGCUAACUACGUG